RNAcentral lists this ribosomal RNA (628 nucleotides) under Rhizorhabdus wittichii. RNAcentral describes it as "bacterial SSU rRNA". It matches the Rfam family "Bacterial small subunit ribosomal RNA", at positions 67 to 741 of the family's 1533-position model. Lineage: Bacteria; Pseudomonadati; Pseudomonadota; Alphaproteobacteria; Sphingomonadales; Rhizorhabdaceae. The record is from RNAcentral.
CGAAGGCUUCGGCCUUAGUGGCGCACGGGUGCGUAACGCGUGGGAAUCUGCCCUCAGGUACGGAAUAACUCAGGGAAACUUGAGCUAAUACCGUAUAAUGACUUCGGUCCAAAGAUUUAUCGCCUGAGGAUGAGCCCGCGUCGGAUUAGCUUGUUGGUGAGGUAAAAGCUCACCAAGGCGACGAUCCGUAGCUGGUCUGAGAGGAUGAUCAGCCACACUGGGACUGAGACACGGCCCAGACUCCUACGGGAGGCAGCAGUGGGGAAUAUUGGACAAUGGGCGAAAGCCUGAUCCAGCAAUGCCGCGUGAGUGAUGAAGGCCUUAGGGUUGUAAAGCUCUUUUACCCGGGAUGAUAAUGACAGUACCGGGAGAAUAAGCCCCGGCUAACUCCGUGCCAGCAGCCGCGGUAAUACGGAGGGGGCUAGCGUUGUUCGGAAUUACUGGGCGUAAAGCGCACGUAGGCGGCUUUGUAAGUUAGAGGUGAAAGCCCGGGGCUCAACUCCGGAAUUGCCUUUAAGACUGCAUCGCUAGAAUUGUGGAGAGGUAAGUGGAAUUCCGAGUGUAGAGGUGAAAUUCGUAGAUAUUCGGAAGAACACCAGUGGCGAAGGCGACUUACUGGACACAUAUG